ACUGCUCAGUAACACGUGGAUAACCUACCCAAGAGUCCGGGAUAACCCCGGGAAACUGGGGAUAAUACCGGAUAGGUCAGACUUGCUGGAAGGCUGUUUGGCUGAAACUUCCGGGGCUUUUGGAUGGGUCUGCGGCUGAUUAGGUUGUUGCCGGUGUAACGUACCGUCAAGCCUGUAAUCAGUACGGGUUGUGGGAGCAAGAGCCCGGAGAUGGAUUCUGAGACACGAAUCCAGGCCCUACGGGGCGCAGCAGGCGCGAAAACUCUACAAUGCAGGCAACUGCGAUAGGGGAACAUCGAGUGAUCCUCAUAUUGGGGGUCUGUCCACCCGCCUAAAAAGCGGGUGUUAGCAAGGGCCGGGCAAGACCGGUGCCAGCAGCCGCGGUAAUA
This 389-nucleotide ribosomal RNA is filed under the name uncultured archaeon. RNAcentral describes it as "bacterial SSU rRNA". It matches the Rfam family "Archaeal small subunit ribosomal RNA", at positions 85 to 475 of the family's 1478-position model. The record is from RNAcentral.